RNAcentral lists this long non-coding RNA (4174 nucleotides) under Nicotiana tabacum (common tobacco). RNAcentral describes it as "long non-coding RNA (NTAB_LNC004413)". Lineage: Eukaryota; Viridiplantae; Streptophyta; Magnoliopsida; Solanales; Solanaceae. The record is from RNAcentral.
CCAAAGUAGCUGAAGCAUUUAGGAUCCAGAGUCACAACUCACGAGCUACUACGGUUUACUACAUACAAAGUCUAAAAGAUAAUACACUAUUCUGGAAGAAAGAAACAAUAAAGUGACAAGUCUAGAAAGAGACUCCAGGGUUUGCGGACGCCAGCAGAUCUACUUUGGUCUCUUGUCGAUCAAGUCCAACUGCUAAACUCGAGGUCAACUCAGGCCAGUACUAAAAUCUGCACAGAAGUGCAGUGUAGUAUCAGUACAACCGACCCCAUCUACUGGUAAGUGCCGAGCCUAACCUCGCCGAAGUAGUGACGAGGUUAGGACAGGACACAAACAUAAUAACCCUGUGCAGUUUAACAAAGUAUGUAUAAAAUAACCGCAAUUAAGAGGUAGACAUGCAAUAUCGGGAGGGGGGACAUGUUGAGGGGAUUAUAAGAUAAAGAAUCACAACAGUAAAGAAACUUGAGCAGCUAAUACACCUUGAACCAGUAAAAACAAGUAAACACAGUAAUGGAAAAUGCACGGCAUUAACCUUCGUGCUUUUACUCUCAACCUCACCAGAUAAUCAAUAGAAACGGCACAACAUCACCCUUCAUGCUUUUACUCUCAACCUCACCAUAUAAAUAAAAAAAGAAUGGCACGGCAUCACCCUUCGUGUAUUAACUCUCUCAUAACAUGGCACGACAUCACCCGUCGUGCAUUAGCACUCACAACAUAUGGCACGACAUCACCCUUAGUAUAUUAACACUCUCUCUCACCAAAAUAAGGAACAAUAAUAAUAGGGAGAUAGAAAUGACAACAACAAGUCUUACUUCAACAUUUGGUUCCACAAUAUCAACCUCGAACUUGACUCAAUACUCAAUCAAUACCAAAUCCGUACAUAUGAUAAGAACGAUCAACAUAACUAUAAACUAGUCUAAGCAUGGGUAAUAUGAUUACAGAAAGCUAAAAUUUUAUUAAUAAGACUCACUAGCAUGCUAUGACUCAAAAAACAACGCAUAGAUACUUGUCACCUCACCUAUACGUUGUACUCAACAUUCAAACACAUAACAAUUAGGCAAAUAAGACCUAAUCCCUCAAGCCAACGUUAACCACGACACUUACCUUGCUCCGCGGACCAUUCAAUGCUCAAUUACCGCUUUUCCUCUAGUAUCCACCUCUGAACCACUCGUAUCUAACCACAAUUAACUCAAUAACAUCAAUUAUUGCUAAAGGAAUAAACUACAAUGCAUAAAUUUAGAUUUCUCAAACUUUCCCCCCAAAAGUCAAAAAUCGACCCCGGAUCUACUAGUCAAAACUCGAGUUUCGGACCAAAAUUCAUUUACUUAUUCACCCCUGAGCCUAGAUAUACAAUUGGUUUUGAAAUUCGGCCUCAAAUCGAGGUCUAAAUCCCCAAUUUGCAAAAAUCCUCAAUUCUUCCUAAAUCCCUAGUUUUCUACCAUGAACAAAAAUUAGGGCUAGGAAUUCAGUAGGUGAUGUUAGAAAUAGAAGAAAAUGAGUUAAAGAGUAUAAACCUAUGAUUUGAUGUUGAAUUCCCCCUUCAAAAUCGCUCAUAGGUCGAGCUCUAAUGAAAGAGUUAUGAAAUUUUGAGAAAAUCCCGUUUCUGGUCUGUUUUAAGUCUCAGGCACCAGGCCUUCUUCGCGUUUGCGAAGGGCUUGCUGCAAUUGCGAAAGGCAGUCGCCCAAAGACCUACGCAUUCGUGAAGGUUGCUCCCCCUUGGCCGUCGCGUUCGCGAGCCAGUGCUCGCGUUCACGUAGAAGAACAGUUGUCCCCUCCCCUAGGUCCCUUACGCUACGCAUUCGCGAAGGGUAAUGCCCCCAAUGCUCCGGGUUUGCGACCAAGCCUUCGUGUUCGCGAAGAAGAAAAUACCAUGCCCUUCUGUCACGUCCCAAACUACCCCAUAGACAUGACUGACACCCAGCUAACACCACCUGCCAGACGAACCAUACUUUCUUACCUUAGCCAUUAAUUUGUAGCAUUUGAUUAAUUAAUGAGUAUCCAAAUAAUCUGAUAACUAUUACGAAUAAUUAAUAUCUCAAAAUAUAAGAUUAAACUCUAGCCCAAAUCGCACACUAGACCAUGGAGCAUCUAAGAGAAUUACAAAAGACCCCAUAUGAAUAAAUGAUAAAGACUCUUUGGGCAGCCUCCACGAACAAUGCGGCGGCUCACCUCAAUAACUGAAUCAACUCUAGCAAACUCGUCGGCUACUAGCUCCGUCUUCACCAAUAGUAUUUGCAUGGACAUGAAGGUAAGGAGUGAGUUAUACAUAAAUAUAACCCAGUAAGAUCAUCGACCCGCCACUCUGAAUACCCCUGGAACAAGUGUUAGAAAAUACAAACACACAACGAGCACACAAAUAAUAUGCACAUAAAUUCUUUUAUCAUAUAAUUACUCUAUAAGGUCCAAACAAUUAUUCAACAACAAUACUAUAUAUAUCUCAACACAAUCUACACUAAGGACUUGUCAUUAACGGCAGUGUAGGAAAUUAACCAAACACCCAACGAGUCCACGUCAGGAUACACGAUGCCCCAAAUCUAUUACAACGGCAUACACAAUGCCCCAAAUAUAUAGCGGCAGCAUACACAAUGCCCCAAAUCAAUCACGGCAGCAUACACAAUGCCCCAAAUAUAUAGCGGUUGCAUAUACAAUGCUCCAAAUAUAUAGUGGCGGCAUACACAAUGCCCCAAAUAUAUAGCGGCGGCAUACACAAUGCCCCAACAUCAUGGCGCACAGCCGUAUCAAACUCAACAUCAUGGCGCACAGCCGUAUCAAACUCAACAUCAUGGCGCACAGCCGUAUCAAACUCAAUAUCAUGGCGCACAGCCGUAUCAAACUCAAUAUCAUGGCGCACAGCUCGUAUCAAACUCAAUAUCAUGGCGCACAGUCGUAUCAAACUAUAAAACUCAACCUCAUGGCGCACAGCCAUAUCACACUAUCAAACAACUUAUAAAAAAAUAUUAUUAUUUUUUUCAUAAAAUAAUAUAUUUGCGGCUAGUCUAAGUCCACCGACUCUGCCAAGCGCACGCUUGUCCCAACACAUGGACCAGGCAGAGAAAACACACUUUCAAAACGGGUUUUAGUAAAGCAAGUAUCAAAGCUUAAAGUUUCACUUACCUCGCCAAUGCCAAAUUUCUCAACCUUGAAACGUCUAGAAAACUACCCAAACGGCCUCCAAUGAUCGCAAUCCAUGCAAAAAUAUUGAUUAACAAUGUCAAUUUGACUAGUUGGGAUCAAACCUCAAUAUCCCGAACUUUCAGACUUAGAAUUGAAUCAUAAUCAUAAUAUUCUACGCAGUAAGUACCCUCUUGAGGCCAUAAUAUGUUCCAAUAUCUCAAUUUAAACUCAAUAUUUAAUUACAAUUCCUAAUAAGUAAUACUCUAAACUUAAUAUCUAAUUACAAAUCCUAUAAAGUAAUACUUGAAGUCCAAUGAUAAUAACUGGAGUAAAAGUUAGAAUUUGCCUAAACAUAAGAACAAAACGGAAACAGUAGUACUAAUAUUGAUAUUAAGAACUGAUGCACAUGUUGGCCGAUUUCUCAUUUGGUUAUAUAUUUACAUCCAAUUAAAAACCAAAUAACUACUUGCUUAAUCAUAAUGCUUCCAAUCAUUGGCAUAAUUAUUCAUAAGGUUAAAUAAUAACUAAAUUCUCCAAAUUCAAUUAAAUCCACCACUGUAAGAAUAUGAAUAGGCAUAUAUGUACUAGACUAAUCAAAUUUCUUCUACGAAGGGUUCACUAAGUGACAAUUAUACAAUUCAGUUAUUCAUUAUCUUAUCAUUAUUUACUACUCCCUCCGGUUCAUAAUAAGUGACCAAUUUGCUUUUAGCACGUCCAUUAAGAAAAUAUUAAAUUCUAUACAAAAAUACAUACUAUGACUAAACUACCCCUAAUUAAACAUUUAAUGUGAGGAGUUAUUUUGUACAUAGGGGUUAUUUUGUAAAAACAAAUUGAAUUCUUUCUUGAUUACAUAACUGGACACUUAUUUUGAACCAAAAUAAAAAAGCAAAUUGGUCACUUAUUGUGAACUAGAGGGAGUAUUUGUUAUCUUAUCAGUAACUCAUAUAGACAUCAUUAACCUUCUCAAUCAGAACAUCGUAGCCACAUAUAUUCAAAGCUUAUGCUAAUGGAAUAGUCUCAAUACCUGAAGCUGUAAGUCUUGCGUUGCUAUCUUCCUUACGCC